This 2669-nucleotide small RNA is filed under the name Drosophila pseudoobscura pseudoobscura. Its description in RNAcentral is "GA30887". Lineage: Eukaryota; Metazoa; Arthropoda; Insecta; Diptera; Drosophilidae. The record is from RNAcentral.
AAACUCCUCAAACUACAAUGUUUUCCCCUAGGGAGCUCGCUUGUGUCCUAACAUGCAGAAGAUUCUCCUCUCUCGUCACAGAAAUGCUCAGUCAGCGGUGACGGGGGAAAAUGCCUUAACAUGGAAAAACAAUGAGGAAAGUGCUCCGUCUGCAUAGGCGUACAACUUGAAUGCAUGGAGAGGGAAAAUACGUAAAGGAAAAUGAAAUUUUUAUUUUUCCCAGUUUCCAUUUUCCAUUUGGAAAUGCACAUGCCAGGGGGCUAUGAGCUUUCUGUUUCCAUUCCCACUCGCAGAUUUCUUUCCACAGACACUGAAGACGCUCCUUGCUUAUCGGUUGGCUCAAGGAGGAGCUCAAGCAGGGCAUAUGUACACAUCUCGUUGGGAGCUGUGCCAAAAGCGUUUGAUGUGUGACAGACAUGCUGGAUGGGGUCUGAAUAGCAGGGGCAGAGGCAGGAGUGGGUUGGUGGUGGGUUGGGUUUAUGCUUUUCCCGGCUGGCGCCAGGCACUCUGCUCUGCUUUCACAUAAUUUGUUUUGGGGCAAAGACGCUGCUGCUGAAUCCGACAGGAAUUGGGUGAAAAGUAGUUGGCAAUCAGGAAACGAAAAUUGCGGGAACUGUGUCAUCAAAGUUACGUUGAACUCGAGCAAGAGCUCGGGGCAUUCAAAUUGAAAGCCUGAAAGGAGGACAGCCCCCGUAUCGCCUUCAAUACGACUCAUGUGAAAUAAAGGGCAUUUGCUGGUUAAUACAGGAGACUUUGUUUUAGUCUCUUUUCGACUAAGCGCCUGCCCAUUGCAGCACAAAAAGCAUUACGGAGAUCAGAUCUCUGAACCUAUCGCAGCUGGUUGCUAUUGUUGUCCCUCCCCUUAAUCGCUCUGAGAGCUCUGAGGGAGGCACCGAUAGUCACUCCGUAGUCUGGCACCGUUGCCCAUGGCAUUACAAAUCGAAAUAAAACAAAUUACUUAAUCGAAAGCUUCUUGUUGUUGUGAUUAAUCAAAUCAAUCGAGUUACGCUUCUGAAGAAGCCCAGUAGCUCAACAGUCUCUUUUCAAAAAGCAAUAUGAUGACAGUUUCCAAAACUAGGCAGAAUUUAUAAUUGAACAUUCAGAGAUUAAUAUGGUUAUAUCUGCAGAAAAACAAAAACGGAACGGCCACAAGAAAGUUCACAAAUAUUACUCUCAAUGGAUCGGAUUGUAGUACACACAAUAUAGCCUUAUCAAUCGAAUACGAGAAUUCACUCAGGCUAGUCAACCUUCAUGGGACUUCUCUAAUCGCUCCUUGACUUAUAUGAAAUGUGCAAGUAGUUCUCUGGAUUUGUAAUACUUAUUAGCCAGGUCAGUGCUGGAGUUUUGCAUUUAAUCGUAGGCCCUAUUUUACGACUUUUAUGGUGAUCGCAUUGAUGCAGUCAUAGGUUUACAGCCUAAUAAAUGUUGCCUAAAAGGUAUUCACUUAUUAAAAUAGAAGAGCUAUCAACCCAGAUUACUUUCCACACCUCUUGAUAAUGCUAUAACAUCAGACCUGGCCUGAUAGCAGCUGGCAUGAGGCUCGUAGUAGCCAACAGUUUUACGACUCCCUCCCUACAGUGGGGAAGGAGCGUGUUAUGCUACUCGUAUCUCUCUGCGAGGGUAAACCAUUGUGCAACGUCAUGGAAAUCAAAAGUGAGCUUUCAAAAAUGCCUUUAGAUAAGAGAAAGGUUCGUGGAAUUCCCACAAGAACAGAGACUUUCGUUGGUGAAUAAUGAUUUUUAGAAGUACGCAACGAUAUCGGAUAUAUUGCAGUCGGAGAGUGGCGAUGGGAACUGUUUGGCCAAGAAAUUAGAUGCGAGCAAGCGCAUUUCUGCGGAACUUCAAGAGGGGAAACGUUUAUUUAACUAGAGUUGGGUAUGAAGUGGUGCCGAUAUAUCAAAUGACUUCUGUGUGCAUGGAUGAGUAUUGUUCAAACUAUAAAUAGACGGUGCACUUUUGUUGUAAGCGGAUUAUUAAGGCUAUCAAUCACAACCCACCGCAGGCACCUAUCAAUAGUAACUGAUAAGCAAGCUGCUGCCAUAUUUGGAGAUUAUAAAAUACCUUUGAGCACAGGCAGGCAGGGGCACAAUCGAUUCGAGUUCCCCAAACACACGUCAAACAAAUGAAUUCAAUGCUUAGUCACACCCUACCAAACAAAUCAGCUGUGUACUUUUUCAAACUUCAAUAACAUUUCAAGUUCCCUGAUUCAUAUACUAAGCUGAACGACGACCCAUAUUUGGCACAGAAGAGUUCAGGGCACUCCGUUCUGUAUGGAAUAGUUUGUUAGGUCCAUCCUAUCCCUUAUCUUUGCUUAAAAAAGGACCCCGAUGUGUUCCACCUAAACUGCGCUAACAUUCUUCAAGAUUUAUAAUAUUUGUGGAGAGUAUUUUAAUACCCACUGGUCGACAAUGGGUUAAUCGUUCCCGUCAUGAUUAGAAAUCAUAUUCCUCGAUUCGGAUUUUCGGGUUACGAUUACAAGCUAGCUGAGACCUUCAGAUCUGAACAAGUAAUUUUAUCAGAUAAAUGCAUAAAUUUUCUACAAUAUCGGUUAAUUUUAAAUACUCUUUUUUAUUUGAUUGGGUCUUAAAUGAGAUUUUAGCAAAAAAGGUCAAAGCAUAAAACAUAAGUGUGAACGGAAUGAAACGUAAGUGUCUAUGGAAUGUUACGUC